Molecule: ribosomal RNA, 412 nt
Filed under: uncultured bacterium
Lineage: Bacteria
Description: bacterial SSU rRNA
Rfam family: Bacterial small subunit ribosomal RNA
Source: RNAcentral
GAACGCACCGCAAGGUGAGUAGAGCACGGGUGAGUAACGCGUGGGAACCUGCCCUGGAGUGGGGGAUAACCCGGCGAAAGCCGGGCUAAUACCGCAUACGUCCUGAGGGAGAAAGAUUUAUCGCUCUAGGAGGGGCCCGCGUCGGAUUAGCUAGUUGGUGAGGUAACGGCUCACCAAGGCGACGAUCCGUAGCUGGUCUGAGAGGAUGAUCAGCCACACUGGGACUGAGACACGGCCCAGACUCCUACGGGAGGCAGCAGUGGGGAAUAUUGGACAAUGGGGGAAACCCUGAUCCAGCAAUGCCGCGUGAGUGAUGAAGGCCUUAGGGUUGUAAAGCUCUUUCGGCGGGGACGAUGAUGACGGUACCCGCAGAAGAAGCCCCGGCUAACUUCGUGCCAGCAGCCGCGGUAAU